AUUGAACGCUGGCGGCAGGCCUAACACAUGCAAGUCGAGCGGAGCGGCGGACGGGUGAGUAAUGCCUAGGAAUCUGCCUGGUGGUGGGGGAUAAGGUCCGGAAACGGGCGAUAACACCGAAUACUUUCAGAUGAGCCUAGGUCGGAUUGGCUAGUUGGUGGGGUAAAGGCCUACCAAGGCGACGAUCCGUAACUGGUCUGAGAGGAUGAACAGUCACAUUGGAAUGAGGACACGGUCCAGACUCCGACGGGAGGCAGAAGUGGGGAAUAUUGGACAAGGGGCGAAAGCCUGAUCCAGCCAUGCCGCGUGUGUGAAGAAGGUCUUCGGAUUGUAAAGCACUUUAAGUUGGGAGGCGUUACCAGCAGAAUAAGCACCGGCUAACUACGUGCCAGCAGCCGCGGUAAUAC
Molecule: ribosomal RNA, 407 nt
Filed under: uncultured bacterium
Lineage: Bacteria
Description: partial 16S ribosomal RNA
Rfam family: Bacterial small subunit ribosomal RNA
Source: RNAcentral